GACUUAAAAUCCGUCGACUUUAAAAAUCGUGAGGGUUCAAGUCCCUCUAUCCCCAAAAAAAGCCUAUUUGACUCCCAAAAUAUUUAUCCUAUCCCC
This 96-nucleotide transfer RNA is filed under the name Exarata chocoensis. RNAcentral describes it as "partial tRNA-Leu". The record is from RNAcentral. Lineage: Eukaryota; Viridiplantae; Streptophyta; Magnoliopsida; Lamiales; Schlegeliaceae.